UGGGGAAUUUUGGACAAUGGGCGAAAGCCUGAUCCAGCAAUGCCGCGUGUGUGAAGAAGGCCUUCGGGUUGUAAAGCACUUUUGUCCGGAAAGAAAUCCUUGGCUCUAAUACAGUCGGGGGAUGACGGUACCGGAAGAAUAAGCACCGGCUAACUACGUGCCAGCAGCCGCGGUAAUACGUAGGGUGCAAGCGUUAAUCGGAAUUACUGGGCGUAAAGCGUGCGCAGGCGGUUUGCUAAGACCGAUGUGAAAUCCCCGGGCUCAACCUGGGGAACUGCAUUGGUGACUGGCAGGCUAGAGUAUGGCAGAGGGGGGUAGAAUUCCACGUGUAGCAGUGAAAUGCGUAGAGAUGUGGAGGAAUACCGAUGGCGAAGGCAGCCCCUGGGCCAAUACUGACGCUCAUGCACGAAAGCGUGGGGAGCAAACAGGAUUAGAUACCCUGGUAGUCCACGCCCUAAACGAUGUCAACUAGUUGUUGGGGAUUCAUUUCCUUAGUAACGUAGCUAACGCGUGAAGUUGACCGCCUGGGGAGUACGGUCGCAAGAUUAAAACUCAAGGAAUUGACGGGGUCAUAGCUGUUUCC
Molecule: ribosomal RNA, 583 nt
Filed under: uncultured bacterium
Lineage: Bacteria
Description: partial 16S ribosomal RNA
Rfam family: Bacterial small subunit ribosomal RNA
Source: RNAcentral